This 492-nucleotide ribosomal RNA is filed under the name uncultured bacterium. RNAcentral describes it as "partial 16S ribosomal RNA". It matches the Rfam family "Bacterial small subunit ribosomal RNA", at positions 30 to 507 of the family's 1533-position model. The record is from RNAcentral.
AUUGAACGCUGGCGGCAGGCCUAACACAUGCAAGUCGAACGGCAACACGAAGAGGCUUUGUUCUUUGCUGUCGCGUGGGGCGGGGGGGUGAAAUGUCCAGCAAACUCUCCGAUGGCGGGGGGUAACUCGUGGAAACGGUAGCUAUUACAGCGUAUACUCCCAACGGCAGAGAGCAGGAGCUUUGCGCACCUUGCCCGCGGUUGUGAGCCGAUGGCGGAUUAGCUAGUAGGUGGGGUAAAGGCCCACCAAGGCGACGAUCCGUAGCUGGUCUGAGAGGAUGAUCAGCCACACUGGAACUGAGACACGGUCCAGACUCCUACGGGAGGCAGCAGUGGGGAAUAUUGGACAAUGGGCGCAAGCCUGAUGCAGCCAUGCCGCGUGUGUGAAGAAGGCCUUCGGGUUGUAAAGCCCUUUUGUUGGGGAGGAAGAGAGGAAAGUUAAUACCUUGCCGUAUUGACGUUACCCAAAGAAGAAGCACCGGCUAACUCCGUG